AGAUGGACAAAUACAAAAAGAUUCUUCCAGAAACAAAGUGUGCUAAUAUCUUUCCAUCCUUCCCAAAAUUGAGGUGACUGGAAAUCUGCAGGAGAACGAAAUACUAUUUUCAGUGGGUAAAGAAACAAAAGUUCUGCAGUAACUGCAGGUUAGACAAGCAAGCAACUAAAUUAGAUUUUCUGUUUCACUUUGAAGGUAGAAUGUUUCAUACUUUGUAAAACUUGCCUGGUUGGUGUUACACACUGAUCUCAUUCUUUUGAGAACUCAAAGAGAAACUACAUGAGAUUUUUUUGGGUAGUUAUAGAUAUAAUAGUUAUAAAAAAUUUGGUAGCUUAUUUGUGAGCGUUAUGGCAUAUAAAUUUAACCACUUCUUGAAUACCAUGAAUUUUUUUUACAAUCACAUCAGAUUUAGAAAGGAUUGACACAUCUGCGAUGGUGACACACCAAAACAGAAUUCAAGUUUCUGUCCAGUGGACCCAUAAGGAUGCAGAUGCACUAUGUAGAUUCAGCCAUUUGAUUUCAAAUUGUAAACACACUAGCCAUCUUAUCAUUUAUAAAGUUGCAUCCAAACAGUUGCUGGAUCCUAAAAUUCUUAAUGCUGAAGGAUGUUUAGUUUAAUUCAGAUAUCAAAAUUAAACAGAAAGGCAAUUAAUAGUCAUAGCUUUCUUUUUUGGUUAUUUGUUCCUUUCCAUGUAAAAUUAUGCCAUUUGAAAUUUGCUUAGUUUCUCUCAACUGCAGUUUCCUGAUGUUCAAAUAAUACCGCACUUACUUAAGACUCAUGAAGAUUUCACUCGAAUCCAAUUUGAUAUGAACAGGACUAUUUCCUUUGUCACUAAAUUUUUUAAAUCUCACAAAAAGGUGAUUUCUUUUUCUGUAUAGGAUAUGUCACUGUCUACAGUUGAACUCCCUUUUAUAGCAUAUUGCAUUAAAUUUUAGAGUUCUGAGUUCUUGCCUCUGUGUCAUUACUAUUGAUUGCAAAGUUUCAGUUAGUUUUUGACGGCCAUCAGUAUUUAUCGGGAUAAUUAGCUUUAAAAUGCUUUAUUUGACAUCAUCUUUCUUUACCAGAGUUUCUGAACCUUGGUCCUUUCCUGGUUUAAGCUGUUUAUAGGGAAUCAUGUCGGUUUGGUUUUCACUAAAUUGACCACCGAUUUAUUCAAGAAAAUUCAUGUAGGAAACUGCAUGGCCAUCUUAUUUCUUCACAUUGCACCAUCCAAGACCAUAUGCUGGUGAACCAGAAUGUAUAUAUGAAUCACAUGCAAUGCUGCCAUCACCAGAUAAGUUCUUCUCAAUAUAUUACCUGAAGACUUCAAUGUACACUAUCUGUUGUUUCCUAAUGAUCAAACAAGAAACAAUAUGGAUGACACAGGUCUCUACAUAUUAUAAAACAUGGUUUCUUCAUAUACAUGGCUUCAUGUAUUAUAUUUGUUCCCGAGUUUAAGCAUAUUACAGUCAGUUUCUUUCUUUUCCAUGGUUCUGCAGAUUGCUGCUGUGUAUAUGACAAAACCAAAAAGAUGGAUUUGCUAAUUUUUACGUCCAACCAUUACUCAUGAUUGUGUGAAGAUGGCAACACAAUUCUUUGUUGUGAUGAUUGCUUUCUUUCUUUCGAUUGAUCUUUAGAACAAAAUAAAUAAAAACAAGCAGACAGAUCUUACUUGGCACAUCAAACGUGUCUUGGUGAAACAUUCCUGCGGUUUUCCUUCCUUGAGCCACUUCCUGAUGUCUCCUGCCUUGUCCAAUGUCACAGGGGAAAGAAGUGCAAGUGGAAGCGGGAAGAGAGAUCAACCAGAUUCGUCUGCGGUUAAUGAGGAGUGAAGAGUACUUUACCCAAAUAGUUGGUGCUCAUUGAAUAAGGUAAAUCCGGGGAAAAGAUUUCCUCGUGUUGGCCACCGCACGCGAUGAUGCAUGGUUUCCUUUUCUGGAUCCAUUAGUUGGACGCAGCAGCGUGUGGGUUUCGUUUCUGUUUCUGAGAUAUCUCCUCUUGGCAUAUUCACCGAACACAAUCACAUAGUUGAGGAUGCGGAUAAUGUGCAGAGUAUUUUGCGUAUGAGAGUUAUUAAGCGUCACGGUAUGUUCUCUGAACAAAAUCACUUAAUUAUGAGCGUAAUUUUUAUAUGCAGCGUACCGAGUUAUGUAGGCUACAGGUAGCACGUUGGAUUAGAAGUCCCAUGUCUGUUGCGGCCCAGCCCAUCCCAUCCCAUCCGGCCCGGCCCAUCUAUAAAACCCGGCGCCAUAGUAGUUAUAACUGCUUCCCCGCAAAUGCCGCUCUCCCUCCCCACGCGGCGAUUCGGGAGUUCGAGAACGAAUCAUGGAGGCUUCGCCUGCUUUGUUUCGUCUUGGUUUUGUUGGAUUUUGCUGCAGGAAGAUGGUGGUGUUGGUCACGACGGCCGACGUUGACGCGAGUUCCAGGCGCCUCGGAAUUGAUCUUUCCUUCCUUAGGUUGAUGUGGUUUCUUUCUCGGAAUUGAUCUUUCUUGGUUUCAGUCGAAGUCGCCCCGGUCGAGGACUUUGGCAUCGAAAGGUAAUGGACCCUAUCCUAACCCUAACCCUAACCCUCUCUUGGCCAGAGAGCUUUUGUUUCGUGUAAUGUUGUUUGUUUCUUGGGUUGAUCUGUUCCUCGUCUUUUUUUUUCUUUUUUUUUUUUUGGGCGAAGCUUUUGGCAUCAAAAGGUAAUGUACGUUAUCCUAACCCCAACACUAAGCGUGUCUUGGCCAUAGAUCUUUUCUUUCGCGUAAAGUUGUUUGUUUCUUGAGUUGAUGAUUUGUUCGUUAUUUUCCUUCUGGCGAAGAUUCUGGCAUCAAAAAGUAAUGUACCUUAGCCUAACCUAGCCCUAUUGACCAGCGAGCUUUUCUUUCGUGUAAUGUUGUUUGUUUCUUGAGUCCAUU
Molecule: long non-coding RNA, 2881 nt
Filed under: Musa acuminata (dwarf banana)
Lineage: Eukaryota; Viridiplantae; Streptophyta; Magnoliopsida; Zingiberales; Musaceae
Description: long non-coding RNA (MACU_LNC002761)
Source: RNAcentral